Molecule: long non-coding RNA, 2977 nt
Organism: Mercenaria mercenaria
Lineage: Eukaryota; Metazoa; Mollusca; Bivalvia; Venerida; Veneridae
Exons: 2
Source: RefSeq, a predicted model, not a curated record
CAGGUUUUAGCUUGGGUUUCCAGUACAGAGAGUCAUCAGCGGGAUGAGUCAGAUGAAAAAGAAAAUCAACCUAGUACUUCCCGGACUUACCAGUCAGUGAGUUCACCAGACAAGAUGGACAGUUUUUCAGGCAUAUUUGAUGGUAUCCUGUAACUCCAAAUGUCUGGCACCAGUACUUCAGUCUGAUAUUCACUAAUGUAAUAUGGUUUGAGUUGUUAAUGCAUAUUAAUAUUGUAUUGUCAUUGUUGAUAUUUUACAGAAACCUGUGAUAAUGUGUAGGAGAUUUUUAAUGCCUAACACAAAACUGUGAUAAUGGAUAUAAUGUUUUAAUGCUUUACAGGAAACGUUGGUACAGGGUAUCGAUUUAAAUGUCUUUCGAAAGCUGUGAUACUUAUUUUAUUUUCUGUGCCUUGCUGUAUUUUUCUCUCUCCAUUCAGAAAUUGUUAACAUUUGAAAACCUGGUUAUCACCCCCAUUGUCUGGAGUAUCUACAAAUGCUUUAUACAUUUAUAUGGAAACGCCACCCUUCAUGUUUCAGAAAUUUCUCGAGAAAGACAGAGUUAUGGCCCAUUGUAGUUAUUUAAUGCAACUCUUUCUCGUAUGUAGUGCUUGUAUUUCAUUUUACGCCCUUCCGGAGUCGGUACAAAAAUCGGAUGUCCUAAGAGAAACAAGGUUUAUGGCCAUUUAUACUUAUAUACAUGUAAUUUAUGUAUAUUUCUGAGUGGUUUUAUUUUAUUUCUUGUAUGACAGAGCCGUGAUAUGCCAUUGAACAAAACAUGGCAGAAAUGCAAACUCAACUGCUACAGGGCAAUGCGUCGCUAUAAGUUACCUGUAGCUUGGCCGAGUAUUGGAAGUUUUAUUUCAAUAUUUCGGCCAAAAUUUUACUGGACCAAAAUGAAAAACUUUUAUAGGCAGACCGCCCGUCUCUCCACCCGCACACCAAACGACAUAGCUAAUUUAAUAAUAUUUUUUGUUUUCAGUUUUGAAAAGCCUGGUUCAUAACUCAUUUAUGCAAAUCUUGUCAACUUACGGCCGUUGUAUUGCGAGCAGCUUUUGAAUGCAGACAAUAUUUUCAGGACUUUCUUGUCUGAUUAUUAUUUUUUGGUCUGUUCCUUUUUUUGGACUUUUAUUACAAAUAAGUCUGUAUCUGUGUACUCGUGCCCUACAGUUUCCACCCAAUUCAAAUGAAACGUGUUAUCCACCAUCAACUACUUUUUUAAUAAAAUUUCAUGUAUUUUCUUUUUUGAACUUUCGGCCCCGUUUUGAUGUUAUAUUUUAUUGUCAAGCAUUUUCAUGGGGCAUGUGUCAAACAAUGUGACAUUAUCUUUUUUUGUUAAUAGAAAGGAGCCAUUUAGAUGCGUUAGGGUUAAGGUUACUGGUAUAUUUUCCUUCUUGGAUCAUCAUAAAUGUGGCUUCCAUUUAAAAGUUUAGUUAGGAUUGACAUACCGUCACCAAAAUUAGUGUAUAGCAAAUUUAUUUUAAGAACUAGCUUGGAUUGUUUUGGGUGUUACUGUUACUAAAACAGAAAAAUAGUUUUCUCAACUCUAAUUAGGACUCCAGUUAGGAAUAUAUUGCGAUAGAACUUUGAAUGUAGAUACAGGAAUGUUGUGGAAUUGUUUUUUUUGUGGCCACUGGGGUCAAGGGCAUUGUAAGGUCAAAGCCACUAUUUAUCAAAUAUAGGAAAUGUUUGAAAAACCAGAUUUUUUUUCGUGGAAUUUUCACGUGUCUUAAUUAAUACAGUGCAAGGUAGAUGUACUAUAUAGUCUCCUGGAGAAAUCAUGAAAAAUGUCUAUAUUUCCCCCUUGCAUUUUAUGGCCCGCUAUCCGUAGUCGGUUCAUUUGUUUCGAUUGUCACAAAAAUCUUUUCCACACAUAUCGGAUUUCGAUAAAACUUCACGGCAGCAAUAUGUAUGAAGUGUUGUUUGAUUCAAUGCGCUCCUGAUUGUUUCUAAAAAAAUGACAUUGUUUAGCGGCGAAUUUUGUAUUACUCGCAUGGAAGAGGAAAAUGACGGAGGACAUGAUGUUAAAAUUUUAAUUGAAAAACAAUAUUUUAUACUUGUAUUAGUAUACUGUUUUUUUACAGGAACGUGGCAUCUUAAUUGUAACACUGCAUUAUAUUUAAAUCAUGAAUAAAUGCAGUUAUAAAGUAAUAUCUAUUUCUGUUGUUAAUGUCUUACAAGAUUAUAAUUUAAAUUAAAAUGUGAAAUAGUUUUGACACUUGCUGCAAACUUCUGUUGAUGUAGCAAUGUAACCAGACUACUAAAAUGUGUAUGUCUGUUGUUUAUGUCUAGUCAAUUUCCACCACACAGUGGCGUGGGGACAUAUUGAUUACUCCUGUCGGUGUGUCUGUCACAAAGCUUGUCGAACAUUUCUCAUCCGAUCUUCACCAAACUGGAACAAAAUGUGUUUGUCAAUAAGUCCUCGGCCAGGUUCAAUAACUAGCCAAAUCGGCCCAGGCACUUUGGAAUUAUGGCCCUUGAACAUAAUUAUCGAUACAGAGUUGUAGACCGGUUACUCCAACUCCAACAGAUACCAAUAGACUGCAAACAGUAUAUAAAGACAGACGCGCUAUUCAGAUGAUUAGGUGUGUCUGAAGUCAUUCGUCCUCCACCUCUGAUAAUUCAUGUGGGGAAGUUGGCAGUUACUUGCGGAGAACAUGUUUGUACUGGUACAGAAUCCAGGAACACUGGUUAGGUUAACUGCCCGCCGUUAUAUGACUGAAAUACUGUUGAAAAACUGGCGUUAAACCCAAAACAAACAAACAAAUCAGAUGAUUAGGUAGUCGUGGGAAACAUGCACUUUUCUCAAAAGCACCUCUGGUUGUAACUGAAUUGUUAAUGCCAUAUGUAUUACUAUGUUGUUAUUCGUGUUGUUAAUGCUGAUAACAGUAUUUGAUAAAGAAACAUGUAUUCUGUAAUAAACAAUUGUGUUUCAGGUUUUGUCAAAAAUGAAAGAAAUAAAGUGUCCACUUCCUCUGUC